Molecule: ribosomal RNA, 1087 nt
Filed under: Enterococcus sp. MMZ60G
Lineage: Bacteria; Bacillati; Bacillota; Bacilli; Lactobacillales; Enterococcaceae
Description: bacterial SSU rRNA
Rfam family: Bacterial small subunit ribosomal RNA
Source: RNAcentral
UGGGCCUAUCAUGCAAGUCGUACGCUUUUUCUUUCACCGGGAGCUUGCUCCACCGAAAGAAAAGGAGUGGCGAACGGGUGAGUAACACGUGGGUAACCUGCCCAUCAGAAGGGGAUAACACUUGGAAACAGGUGCUAAUACCGUAUAACAAUCGAAACCGCAUGGUUUUGAUUUGAAAGGCGCUUUCGGGUGUCGCUGAUGGAUGGACCCGCGGUGCAUUAGCUAGUUGGUGAGGUAACGGCUCACCAAGGCCACGAUGCAUAGCCGACCUGAGAGGGUGAUCGGCCACAUUGGGACUGAGACACGGCCCAAACUCCUACGGGAGGCAGCAGUAGGGAAUCUUCGGCAAUGGACGAAAGUCUGACCGAGCAACGCCGCGUGAGUGAAGAAGGUUUUCGGAUCGUAAAACUCUGUUGUUAGAGAAGAACAAGGAUGAGAGUAACUGUUCAUCCCUUGACGGUAUCUAACCAGAAAGCCACGGCUAACUACGUGCCAGCAGCCGCGGUAAUACGUAGGUGGCAAGCGUUGUCCGGAUUUAUUGGGCGUAAAGCGAGCGCAGGCGGUUUCUUAAGUCUGAUGUGAAAGCCCCCGGCUCAACCGGGGAGGGUCAUUGGAAACUGGGAGACUUGAGUGCAGAAGAGGAGAGUGGAAUUCCAUGUGUAGCGGUGAAAUGCGUAGAUAUAUGGAGGAACACCAGUGGCGAAGGCGACUCUCUGGUCUGUAACUGACGCUGAGGCUCGAAAGCGUGGGGAGCAAACAGGAUUAGAUACCCUGGUAGUCCACGCCGUAAACGAUGAGUGCUAAGUGUUGGAGGGUUUCCGCCCUUCAGUGCUGCAGCUAACGCAUUAAGCACUCCGCCUGGGGGAGUACGACCGCAAGGUUGAAACUCAAAGGAAUUGACGGGGGCCCGCACAAGCGGUGGAGCAUGUGGUUUAAUUCGAAGCACGCGAAACCUUACCAGGGUCUUGACAUCCUUUGACCACUCUAAAAAUAGAAGCUUCCCCUUCGGGGGCAAAGUGAACAGGGGGUGCAUGGUUGUCUCACUUCGUGUCUGAUGUUGGGUUAAUCCCCACCGAGCCCACCCUUU